RNAcentral lists this ribosomal RNA (497 nucleotides) under uncultured bacterium. Its description in RNAcentral is "partial 16S ribosomal RNA". It matches the Rfam family "Bacterial small subunit ribosomal RNA", at positions 28 to 507 of the family's 1533-position model. The record is from RNAcentral.
GAUGAACGCUGGCGGCGUGCCUAAUACAUGCAAGUAGAACGCUGAAGCUUGGUGCUUGCACCGAGCGGAUGAGUUGCGAACGGGUGAGUAACGCGUAGGUAACCUGCCUCUUAGCGGGGGAUAACUAUUGGAAACGAUAGCUAAUACCGCAUAAAAGUCGAUAUCGCAUGAUAUUGAUUUGAAAGGUGCAAAUGCAUCACUAAGAGAUGGACCUGCGUUGUAUUAGCUAGUUGGUGAGGUAACGGCUCACCAAGGCGACGAUACAUAGCCGACCUGAGAGGGUGAUCGGCCACACUGGGACUGAGACACGGCCCAGACUCCUACGGGAGGCAGCAGUAGGGAAUCUUCGGCAAUGGGGGCGACCCUGACCGAGCAACGCCGCGUGAGUGAAGAAGGUUUUCGGAUCGUAAAGCUCUGUUGUAAGAGAAGAACGAGUGUGAGAGUGGAAAGUUCACACUGUGACGGUAACUUACCAGAAAGGGACGGCUAACUACGUG